GGGCGGAGCUCGCGUUCCGAGCAUAAAAGAGAGCGUCGCCCGGCUCCUCUCCGGGGAGGAGUCGCGCUUCAUACAGGCUCCUGAGGCUUCCGCAGAAGAGAAGGCGAUCCGAGGUAAUGGCUGACUGAAAAGCUCCGUGUAUUCGGAGACUUCUAGAAGAUUCGGAAUGAGGCCUAGGUUGAUAUCAGAGACACCUGUGACCUUGGCAAUCUGCACGUGACCCCAGCUGAGCUCCAGAAAGGCUGUGCACCCCCAGAAGGGCCACCGCGGGGUGAAGGCUCUGCUGAGUCACAGGGCCAGACCCACCACAAUCUCGCUGACAGAAGCCAGGGGGCGGAGCGUGCUCUGAGCAGCUGGGAAGGGAGCUGUGCCUGACCAGUCUUGGGGGAGGAGCUGCUUUUCACCAGGCUGCAGCUGACAAGAAGCUUCAAGGACAAAUAUCAGACACUUGUGACCUGGGAAAUCGGCACGUGAUAUCAUCUGAGGUCCAGAAAGGCUGUGUACCCACAGAGGGGCCGCACGGGGCGAAGGCUCUGCUACCACAGUCCCCGGCAGAGGGAUUGUCCCAAACAACGUGUUCAAGUACCUUUUGGAAACUGAGGUGAAGAAGAACAGUGCCUACAAACUAAUUUUUGUUGUCAGAAAACAAAAGAGCAUUUGUUGAGAGUGUUGUUUUUGGUAGCACCUGCAUUAGCAGUGACAAGGUUAGCUAGCCACCCCAUCCACUGAUAAUAAGCAAUCA
RNAcentral lists this long non-coding RNA (742 nucleotides) under Oryctolagus cuniculus (rabbit). RNAcentral's name for it is "lncRNA (ENSOCUG00000029785.1)". The record is from RNAcentral. Lineage: Eukaryota; Metazoa; Chordata; Mammalia; Lagomorpha; Leporidae.